RNAcentral lists this ribosomal RNA (487 nucleotides) under uncultured bacterium. RNAcentral describes it as "bacterial SSU rRNA". It matches the Rfam family "Bacterial small subunit ribosomal RNA", at positions 28 to 507 of the family's 1533-position model. The record is from RNAcentral.
GACGAACGCUGGCGGCGUGGAUUAGGCAUGCAAGUCGAACGGUAUCAUCCUUUCGGGGGUGAGAGAGUGGCGAACUGGUGAGUAACACGUAGGUUAUCUACCCUCAAGACGGGGACAACCCAGGGAAACUUGGGCUAAUACCGGAUGUGAGCAACUUUUAGUUGUUUGAAAGGUGGCGUAAGCUGUCGCUUGGGGAUGAGCCUGCGUCCUAUUAGUUAGUUGGUGAGGUAACGGCUCACCUAGGCAAUGAUAGGUAGGCGGCCUUAACGGGUGGUCGCCCACACUGGGAUUGAGAUACGGCCCAGACUCCUACGGGAGGCAGCAGUCGAGAAUAGUCUACAAUGGUCGGAAGACUGAUAGUGCGACGCCGCGUGAACGAUGAAUCCCUUCGGGGUGUAAAGUUCUUUUAUAUGUGAGCAGUGCUUCUUAUAUUAACAGUAUGGGGAGAGAGAUAUUAGCAUAUGAAUAAGCAGCGGCUAACUCCGUG